This 207-nucleotide ribosomal RNA is filed under the name uncultured bacterium. Its description in RNAcentral is "partial 16S ribosomal RNA". It matches the Rfam family "Bacterial small subunit ribosomal RNA", at positions 568 to 774 of the family's 1533-position model. The record is from RNAcentral.
UGCGUAGGCGGUUUAUCAAGUCAGGAGUGAAAGGCUAAUGGCUCAACCAUAGUGAGCUCUUGAAACUGAUAAACUUGAGUACAGGAGAGGAAAGUGGAAUUCCUAGUGUAGCGGUGAAAUGCGUAGAUAUUAGGAGGAACACCAGUGGCGAAGGCGACUUUCUGGACUGUAACUGACGCUGAGGCACGAAAGCGUGGGGAGCGAACA